This 1266-nucleotide long non-coding RNA is filed under the name Bos indicus x Bos taurus (hybrid cattle). Its description in RNAcentral is "lncRNA (ENSBIXG00000019775.1)". The record is from RNAcentral. Lineage: Eukaryota; Metazoa; Chordata; Mammalia; Artiodactyla; Bovidae.
GUGUUACUACCUGAGCUCUAGUAGUAAGACAAUACUGAAUGUAAUGACAACUUUUAUUUUCUAGGGUUCUGAAACCACUGCAGAUGAUGACUGCAGCCAUGAAAUUAAAAGACACUUAUUCCUUGGAAGGAAAGCUAUGACAAACCUAGACAGCCUAUCAAAAAGCAGAGACAUCACUUUGCCAACAAAGGUCCAUAAAGAAAGCUGAGCGCCGAAGAACUGAUGCUUUUGAAUUGUGAUGCAGAGAAGACUCUUGAGAGUCCCUUGGACUGCCAGGAGAUAAAACCAGUCAAUCCUAAAGGAGAUCAGCUGUGACUAUUCACUGGAAGGACUUGUAAGCUGAAUGUAAAGGGCCAGCUCAUUGGAAGACACUGAUGCUGGGACAGAUCAAAUGAACAGGAGAAGAGGGUGGCAGAGGAUUAGAUGGUUGGAUGGCAUCACCGACUCAGUGGACAUGAAUUUGAGCAAACUCCAGGAGAUAGUAGAGGACUGAGGAGCUUGGCAUGCAGUCCAUGGAGUCACAAAGAGUCGGACAUGACUUAGCAACUAAACAACAACAAUACCGCAUGCGUGGGUGUGAGGACGUGGGGCAGUUAGCUGGGACUGUCCCCCAGCAAGGGACUUCUCGUGUAUGCCAAUGGUCAUGGUGUCAAUAUGGGCCCCUGAAAACUCACCAUCUAUCAGGUUUGCAAACAACUCUCGGUGACGACCAUUCGGAUGGCCUUUGGAAUUGCACCAAUGAGCACACGCAUCACGGAGGCACAGAAUCAGGCACUACCCCCGCCUCCAGUUUCGGCCGGGAUGCCGCCCGCUGCCUUGUGCGUGAGCCUCAGGGGCGCGCACCCCGGCUCCCCGCCCCGCGAAACCCUGAUCCCUCUUUGAUGGAGAGCCACCCAGCCUUCAGUUGCUCCCUGAGGUCCAGAAGCUGAGUAGAGAAUUUAACCUGAAUUUAAGUCCCUUAAUUCAGUUUUUUAUACCAAUUAUUCCUCCUUUCUAUUCAAUGAUCUUAGUUAUAGAUCCGUAGUCUAUUAUCCUUUAAUUUCUGCAUGAGUUUAGAAGUAAACAUGGCUAUAAAAUAAUAAUGACAUCUUUGUCAACUACAAUUUAGUUCCAUCUAUUGGUUUUCUUACCGAUUUAAAAAUUAAUUUAUCAAUGUCACACUUCAUUCUUAACGUUGACAUUUCAUUUUCCACGUAGGCUGAGAUGCACCUUUCUGAGUUAUCUAUUGUUUCUGCAUCCAAGUCUUCUCUAAAAUAUUUGCUAUCA